Molecule: ribosomal RNA, 661 nt
Filed under: Candidatus Kaiserbacteria bacterium
Lineage: Bacteria; Candidatus Kaiseribacteriota
Description: partial 23S ribosomal RNA
Rfam family: Bacterial large subunit ribosomal RNA
Source: RNAcentral
GUUUAAGUAAGUAAGAGCUCAUGGUGAAUGCCUUGGCAUGAGUAGGCGAUGAAGGACGUGGUAAGCUGCGAUAAGCUGCGGGUAGCUGCAAACAAGCGUUGAUCCGUAGAUUUCCGAAUGGGGCAACCCGGUACCGUGAAGCGGUAUCGCUCCGACUUGUCGGAGGGCUAACCCGGGGAACUGAAACAUCUAAGUACCCGGAGGAAGAGAAAACAACAGUGAUUCCCUAAGUAGUGGCGAGCGAACGGGGAAGAGCCCAAACCGGGCUGGUUUCGGCCAGGCCGGGGUUGUAGGGUCCGCACAACGAGACCACUAGUCGAAAUCGAAGCUGUCAGGAAAGCAGCGCCUAAGAAGGUGAAAGCCCUGUAGGUGUAAGACGAAUGGCUCAGCGGUGUCCCUGAGUACCACGGGACCGGAGAAAUCCUGUGGGAAUCUACCAGCACCAUCUGGUAAGGCUAAAUACUCACUCAUGACCGAUAGUGAACCAGUACCGUGAGGGAAAGGUGAAAAGAACGCCUAGUAGGCGAGUGAAAUAGUACCUGAAACCAUGAGCUUACAACCAGUCGGAGCCCCUUCGUGGGGUGACGGCGUGCCUUUUGCAUAAUGAGCCUACGAGUUACUCCUAACUGGCAAGGUUAAGGCCUUAAGGGCCGCAGCCGAA